CGCACCGUACUCUCGGGAGUUCUCCUCCCUCUUUUCUCCUCCUGCUCCUCCUGAUCUCGGCGCUUCCAUUUUGCCAGCAAUUUUUUGCGCGCCGAUCAAGCCAAGGGCGCGCGCUAGAUCCUCGCCGCAUCGCAAGGAUCCUCGCGCGGAACGGCGAGUGACCGAGAUUCGCGUUCGGCGUCGAUUGUCUCUCCAGAUUCGUCUUUGUCCUUCGUUCGCGUCAUCGAUUUUGCGGGGAAGAGAAAAUAAAAUUUUUCUAUAGUUUCGCAGAUUAAGGAUUAAGACGAAGGAGCCUGCCUUGCUUUCUUUGGCUUCGCACAUCUUAGAAGCUCGGUGCGCGCUCGUUUCGACGAAGAAGCGACACUUGCCCUAUCGGCGACGGUUUUUGUGUACUCCGUUUUCCAACGAUUCUCCGCGAUAUCGAGGGCGUCGAUAGCGAUUUAAUGACGCUCGAUAUAAUUUACGACGAUAAAUGUUCGUCACAAAACAGAAGGGGAACAGCCGAGGCAUUUCGAGAAAUAGUAAGCGGCCCUCGUGCUAUCUCCUCGACGAUGAGGACGACGAAGACGACGAUCGCGACAGGGUAAUCAAGUCCCGAUUAUCUUUUUGUCGCCGCUGCUUCUUUCGUAAUCGAAUAGCCCGCAGUUUAUUCGAGACGACAACGACGACGAGGAUGCUGAUCAGGGUGCUAAACAGAGAACACUGUUGAUCGUAAGGCGCGCAUGCAGCGGCAAUAAAACGCUCGUCCUUGUCGCCCGUGUCCUCUAAAGACAUCCUUACUCAGGUUUAAUGGAACGCACUAAGAAGGGUAACGACAGUCGCGACUGAUGUCUCCAAUGGUUGCCGAGAGCUAGAUGCAAGCGAGCGGGACGCGAGAUUGCACUCUGCGCAGUGUACUCGACGACGACAACGACGCUGUAAACGUGGCAAACAACCGUCGUGUUUAACGACGACAUUAAGAUAUCGCGAUAAACGAUCGCGGGAUUGAAGAAGAGACCGUACACGCGCGGAGCAAAUUUCACCGGCGAUACAUUCCUCGAAGGAAUUACCUUUUUUAUGGUAUUUCACUCUUAUGGUUCAAGUAAUGUAUUUUUGAUAAAGCGAUAACACGUUCGUUUUAAAAAUUAUUGCUUCUAAUGAAAAAUAUGUACGACAUGUGCGAACUUUGUUUAAGCUUCUCAACAUCUUUAUCUUUAACGUUAUUGCCGCUUCUAAUUUUGUAAUGGAAUACUAGGAAACCUAGAAAAUUUUGGAUGAACUGUGGGAUUUAAAGUUUCCCUUAAAUCGGUCUUCCAAAUGGAACCAUCGGAAUGAUGAAAACUCCACCAUCAUUCGUAGUGCUUUAACGAACGUGGUCGCAACGCGUACCUAAAGUUCUGUUGGACGACACGCGAGUCACGAGCCGGAACGCAAUGUUAACGAGACGCACCGGAUACGAACUACGAGAGCGUUCGCAUGAGCCCCUUCGUCAAGUACGCCGCCGCCGCCCGCAAAGACGUCCCUUUUCUCCUGCGCGGACAAAGAAGAAGGGUGGCGAGAGAUAGUCACGCUCGCCGAGAGUGGAACGGCCCCCUGCAAUCUGCACCGCGCACGCAUUACGCAUGUUUCUGCAGAUGCACGCAUUCAAGGUGCGCUCUUUCUCCCUCUCUCUCUUCCCUUCUCUUUCCGUUCCGUUCGCUCAUGCGGUCCACCGAGGCAUCAUUACGCGAGAUGGUCUUCUUCUUGUUCCUCCAGCAUCGCCACCAGCACAACCACCUUCUCCUCCUCUUCGUCCUCUUCGUCCUCAACCGCCAUCAUCCACCGCGAUCGGUGCGCGCCGAUCUAUUUAUAUCGUAACGCGCCGCCGGCCUGGUAUCGGCGUCGCUCGGCAGCGGUGGAAACUUGAAAAAGAAGCGGGUAAUAGGAUGGCAGAAGAAACGUAACCUUGUACUUGUUACCGCCGCUCGUCGGCGGUCGGCGGUUCUAUACUUUAAGGAAACAUUAUACGUAGGUGCGCGCUUCGUGGAAAUGUGAGCUUAAUGGCAGCGGACGGGGAAUUGCCGCGUAGAUUAGCGCGAGUGCGAUUCUCCGGCGGCCGCGCGACAGACGAGACUCUGACAUCCCGGAGCGACUAUCCAAUCGAGCCAAUGUUCCUUCUGCGAAAACGAUCGUCCGUAAUGCCGCGUAAUGUCGCUCGAUCACGGAAACGCGCAGCGAUAUUUAGUACGGUCGUCGUGGAAUCGUCGUGGAAUCGUCGUCGAGCCAUCGUAGAACGUGGUCAGCUUUCCGCAGAAAGAGAACCGCUAUCUUUAGACCCGCCAACACAAGCUUCAAUUUCAUUCGCGAUUUCGCGGAUGCAUUAUGUCUUUUUUAACGUCAAACUUAGGAGAGACCUCCACCCCCAACAGUAUUUCUUUCCAAUCUUCGCCACCUCGCUCCGUGGCGACCGAGCCGGACUGGGACUUAAUCCACGUAGAAUAAUUUCGCGGAGGCUACAGCGGCUAGCAACGUCGUAUUUUUUCGAGGGAAGACAAGAACGCGCGAAGGCCCGGCCACUAUAUCACGGGCCAUCGGACGGCAGAAGUUAUUACCGGUUUAGGAGUUCGUUGGCUGGCCCUUGUUGGGGCCCCAAGGGCCCAAAAACUCGUUAACAACAGUCUCACCGACGGUCGUAGACUCUCUGUGUCGAGGAGGGGAAAAAAAACGGGGAGAAAGAGGGAUGGCGAAAAAGCGAAACGGUGUACGAAGGGGGCGAGCGCGAAAAAUACGGCGUUAGGGGCCCACGAAAGCCCGCUAGAGCGGACCAGCGAGAGAGAAUAUGGGGGAUACGUCUUGGAGGUCUUGGAGGUCCCCAAGGUGAAGGUCAAGGUUUGCGGAGCGUGGCGAACGCGCAAACGAAGCAGAACGCGCGCUGACACGGCGACAACCCGCGAGCGGAGGGAAGGAUGACUUUGCGGCUCCGCGACUCCGGUAGCAAGCACCACCGUCGUCAAUCUUUUAUCGAACGAUUCGACAAACGGCGCAGUUGCUUAAUCGAAGUGGCGUCUAUGUCCUUGCCGAAAACGGCGACAAAUCUGGACGAGGUUUUGCAUUCUACCUCAAGACGAUUAAUAGAAUCAAAAAGACCGUCUUGAGCAACAUGACAUUUUCUAAGCGUCGAUUAGGAACGAGUGAAGAACAGACGAAGUAUUAAAAGCCACAUCCUAGAACUAAAUAUAUUAUAACCUUUAUUAAAAUAAACAAAAUUAAAAUUAAUUAAUCUCAGACUCACUUCAAGUAUAAGUAUCAAAAACACCAAACCCUUUAGGGGCACCCUUACGAAAA
RNAcentral lists this long non-coding RNA (3303 nucleotides) under Ooceraea biroi (clonal raider ant). RNAcentral's name for it is "uncharacterized LOC105284090". Lineage: Eukaryota; Metazoa; Arthropoda; Insecta; Hymenoptera; Formicidae. The record is from RNAcentral.